AUUGAACGCUGGCGGAAUGCUUUACACAUGCAAGUCGAACGGUAGAGGGGGCAACCCCCUUGAGAGUGGCGAACGGGUGAGUAAUAUAUCGGAACGUGCCCAGUCGUGGGGAUAACGUAGCGAAAGUUACGCUAAUACCGCAUACGAUCUAAGGAUGAAAGCGGGGGGAUCGCAAGACCUCGCGCGAUUGGAGCGGCCGAUAUCAGAUUAGGUAGUUGGUGAGGUAAAGGCUCACCAAGCCAACGAUCUGUAGCUGGUCUGAGAGGACGACCAGCCACACUGGAACUGAGACACGGUCCAGACUCCUACGGGAGGCAGCAGUGGGGAAUUUUGGACAAUGGACGCAAGUCUGAUCCAGCCAUUCCGCGUGCAGGAUGAAGGCCCUCGGGUUGUAAACUGCUUUUGUACGGAACGAAACGGUGAGCUCUAAUACAGUUUGCUAAUGACGUACCGUAAGAAUAAGCACCGGCUAACUACGU
Molecule: ribosomal RNA, 479 nt
Filed under: uncultured bacterium
Lineage: Bacteria
Description: bacterial SSU rRNA
Rfam family: Bacterial small subunit ribosomal RNA
Source: RNAcentral